RNAcentral lists this ribosomal RNA (63 nucleotides) under Triticum aestivum (bread wheat). RNAcentral describes it as "partial small subunit ribosomal RNA". Lineage: Eukaryota; Viridiplantae; Streptophyta; Magnoliopsida; Poales; Poaceae. The record is from RNAcentral.
AUGGUACCUUAUCCCCGUUUGGGAUCGUUUUGCCACGACGGUGGCCGUUGGUAUCUUUGGUAA